This 500-nucleotide ribosomal RNA is filed under the name uncultured bacterium. Its description in RNAcentral is "partial 16S ribosomal RNA". It matches the Rfam family "Bacterial small subunit ribosomal RNA", at positions 30 to 523 of the family's 1533-position model. The record is from RNAcentral.
AUUGAACGCUGGCGGCAUGCCUUACACAUGCAAGUCGAACGGCAGCACGGAAGCAAUCCUGGUGGCGAGUGGCGAACGGGUGAGUAAUAUAUCGGAACGUGCCCAGUCGUGGGGGACAACGUAGCGAAAGCUACGCUAAUACCGCAUACGAUCUAUGGAUGAAAGCGGGGGAUCGCAAGACCUCGCGCGAUUGGAGCGGCCGAUAUCAGAUUAGGUAGUUCGUGAGGUAAAGGCUCACCAAGCCGACGAUUUGUAGCUGGUCUGAGAGGACGACCAGCCGCACUGGGACUGAGACACGGCCCAGACUCCUACGGGAGGCAGCAGUGGGGAAUUUUGGACAAUGGGCGUAAGCCUGAUCCAGCAAUGCCGCGUGCAGGAUGAAGGCCUUCGGGUUGUAAACUGCUUUUGUACGGAACGAAACGGCGAGCUCUAAUACAGUUUGCUAAUGACGGUACCGUAAGAAUAAGCACCGGCUAACUACGUGCCAGCCGCCGCUGUAA